This 940-nucleotide long non-coding RNA is filed under the name Strigops habroptila (Kakapo). RNAcentral describes it as "lncRNA (ENSSHBG00005004596.1)". Lineage: Eukaryota; Metazoa; Chordata; Aves; Psittaciformes; Psittacidae. The record is from RNAcentral.
GGCGGUUGGCGGUUGGCUGUCGGCUGUCGGCGCCUCGUCGCGGUGCUGGCGAGGACCGGCGGCGGCGGGAACGCAGCCGGCCCCGCGAGGCAAAGAAAUAGCCAGCUUCCCAGCUGCUGGCUCUAACUCAGGCGUGGAAGAGCAAGAACUGACAGUGAUGACUGGGUGAUGACUGGGUGCAACUGCAAACUCCCCUGGCCAUGACUUGGCUGAGCUGAGAGUCUACCAACAAAGGAUUAAAGGUUUCCUGGUAACAAUAGCACCAAAAUAAAGACCAGAUUUUGUCUAAGUGAAAUUCACUUCUCCUGCCUAAAGCCCUAUGCCUAGAAUCUGCAAGGAAAAAAGCUGAAGUAAGAUGUGGAAGCUGCUAAAUUUAUGUGUAAGCACCAGGCUGCAAUCCAUACAAGCUUACAGGAGUUCGGUACUCGGCUUCCUCUGAAAUUUAAAGGAGGUGAGCACCUUUGUUCUUAAAGCUUUUUUGAAUAUUCCAGCCAUGUAAGACAUAACAGCCUCCCAUUGUUUGCUCAGGGACAGUAUGUAUAUGUAUAUGUAUAUGAAUAUUGCCUUGGGUAUUCAAAAUCUAUGCAAGUAAAAAGAAGAUCAUAGAGCAUGCAGCUUUUCAGCUGUGAAGAAGCAGCAGCUUAGCUGAGCCGUACUUCUUAAGAGAGGCUACUGGACCUUCUCAUAGUCUACACUUGACUGUCUUUACUCUUGAGUGAUCUUCAGCUCAGCCAGAAAAACAAGGGUCUGUGAAUUAAUUGUUGCCAAACUUUGAACCAUGGGGGGUUCAAGUGAAAGAAUGGGCUUUAAGUCAGCCACGUGUGACUGGAUGAUCCACCUAACUGGAAUGCGGUUUGUGUUGAGGUAUGUUUUCUUUGGCUAUUUUUUCCUGAAAUGUGCAAUUAAAAAAAAUAAAAUAUUUACAUCAUUAGAAAUGAAA